AUGCGUUGUUGGGUAGGGGAGCGUUCUGUAAGCCUGCGAAGGUGACCUGUGAGGGUUGCUGGAGGUAUCAGAAGUGCGAAUGCUGACAUAAGUAACGAUAAAGCGGGUGAAAAGCCCGCUCGCCGGAAGACCAAGGGUUCCUGUCCAACGUUAAUCGGGGCAGGGUGAGUCGACCCCUAAGGCGAGGCCGAAAGGCGUAGUCGAUGGGAAACGGGUUAAUAUUCCCGUACUUGGUGUUACUGCGAAGGGGGGACGGAGAAGGCUAUGUUGGCCGGGCGACGGUUGUCCCGGUUUAAGCGUGUAGGUGUGUGUUCCAGGUAAAUCCGGUUCACUUUAACACUGAGGCGUGAUGACGAGGCACUACGGUGCUGAAGCAACAAAUGCCCUGCUUCCAGGAAAAGCCUCUAAGCAUCAGGUAACAUCAAAUCGUACCCCAAACCGACACAGGUGGUCAGGUAGAGAAUACCAAGGCGCUUGAGAGAACUCGGGUGAAGGAACUAGGCAAAAUGGUGCCGUAACUUCGGGAGAAGGCACGCUGACACGUAGGUGAAGUGAUUUACUCA
This 563-nucleotide ribosomal RNA is filed under the name Salmonella enterica subsp. enterica serovar Heidelberg. RNAcentral describes it as "partial 23S ribosomal RNA". It matches the Rfam family "Bacterial large subunit ribosomal RNA", at positions 1216 to 1772 of the family's 2925-position model. The record is from RNAcentral. Lineage: Bacteria; Pseudomonadati; Pseudomonadota; Gammaproteobacteria; Enterobacterales; Enterobacteriaceae.